Molecule: ribosomal RNA, 494 nt
Filed under: uncultured bacterium
Lineage: Bacteria
Description: partial 16S ribosomal RNA
Rfam family: Bacterial small subunit ribosomal RNA
Source: RNAcentral
GAUGAACGCUGGCGGCGUGCUUAACACAUGCAAGUCGAACGGGAAUUAUUUUAUUGAAACUUCGGUCGAUUUAAUUUAAUUCUAGUGGCGGACGGGUGAGUAACGCGUGGGUAACCUGCCUUAUACAGGGGGAUAACAGUCAGAAAUGACUGCUAAUACCGCAUAAGCGCACAGGACCGCAUGGUCCGGUGUGAAAAACUCCGGUGGUAUAAGAUGGACCCGCGUUGGAUUAGCUGGUUGGUGGGGUAACGGCCCACCAAGGCGACGAUCCAUAGCCGGCCUGAGAGGGUGAACGGCCACAUUGGCACUGAGACACGGCCCAGACUCCUACGUGAGGCAGCAGUGGGGAAUAUUGCACAAUGGGGGAAACCCUGAUGCAGCGACGCCGCGUGAAGGAAGAAGUAUCUCGGUAUGUAAACUUCUAUCAGCAGGGAAGAUAGUGACGGUACCUGACUAAGAAGCCCCGGCUAACUACGUGCCAGCCGCCGCAGUAA